Molecule: long non-coding RNA, 3245 nt
Filed under: Salmo salar (Atlantic salmon)
Lineage: Eukaryota; Metazoa; Chordata; Actinopteri; Salmoniformes; Salmonidae
Description: lncRNA (ENSSSAG00000110999.1)
Source: RNAcentral
UUCUAUAUUCUUAUUGCCCAAAAAUGAACAGAAUAUUUACAUUAAACAGUAAAGUCCUAAGCAAGAUGGCUGCAUUACUGCGCGAAAUAGUGGCAUCCUGGUAAAAUGACGCAAACCAUAGUUUACGUUCAGUGAAGUGGUAAUACGGUUUCCAUCCACACGCUGUAGCGCCAGCUCCCGCCUGACUGUCUGCGUAAAGCUCGGCGAAUCUCAAGUGGACCGAGAGGAAUUGGUUCAGUAAACGUUCUCUUUUGUUGUUCCUUGACUCGGGCUGUGAUUGCCUGGCGCUUUCCUUCCUGUGUCUUGGGGUUCGGCUCUCGGACAUGUCUCUGUUAGACAAAUCUGCAUGCGUCAGGAGAAAGGAGACUAUAGGGGAAAUGGAGUACUAUAGUAGUUCUCCCAAACAGAGGAGCUGUUAUUUGUACAUCGUCCCCCACAGCCACUUCUUCUCGUGCCCACUACAAUGGAGAGAGAAUGAGAAGAGGUGCUCCAAGCAGAACAUGAAAAUGGAGAUGUGCACAAAGAACAAUAACACCACACUCAGAAGAGGUGAGAGUGCGAUGAGGAGAGGAGCCAGAGAGUGAGGCGAUGGGCUGCACCUCUGCUAAGCAGGUGUCGGCCGUGCCCAGCGAUGAGGAGGGCCGGGGCAAGGCCUACAGCAACGGAGACCUCUUCACCGACGAGUACAAGAUGAAGGGAGUGGAGGAGGUGAAGUACAUGCGUGGAGAGGAGGACCGGGUGAACGCACGCAACCAGGAGAACCUGGUGAGAGAGGAGCGACCACACACACACACACACACACACGUAGUCUGACUGUUCAUCAACACACAGAAAACACACCGUCCUCUUUGACAUUCAAUCAACACAUGCAAACAGACAGCGUUUGUGCUAAAUGCACCCAUCCACAGAAGCCCCCCCCACCCAACACACACAGCCACGGUGCCUCCCGAGCAGGUAGAGACAACAUGUAGGCCUGUAUGGAAUGUGGGAGUUUCACUAAAGGCUGUUUUAACCCCUUCCUUCAUGGCCUAUAUUUUGUGAGCAAUAGCUACGAUUUAUUCUUUCCUACAAACAAUAAAAUAACCCGGGGAAAAAGUGCACACCCUUUUGGAUGAGGUAACGAUUGAAGGAAAGGAAUCAAAAGUCGAGAGGAAUGAAAGUCCUACCCAACUAUUGAUUGAUUUGUCAUUUCAGUGUCUCUCUAUUCCACCAUUGUUGUGAAUGUGCUGCCGUCGUCAUAGUCACAUUAGUUUCAACAUAUGCGACAGCUGGCUUAAAACAUGCAGCAGAACAAAUGUCAUUUUCAGAAGUGACUUUUACUCUUUUUAGAAAGCUUAACGGGAACUACUCACAGGGGACUGUUUCUCACAGACGCACAUUUUAAUCCUGCCGAGUCAAAGUGCACACACACCAACAAAUAGAUUUAUAUCCAUGAAAUGCCUGUAGUGAGCAUCCGCAGUAGCAGAGUGAUCUGACGGCUGUGGAGAAGGCAGCUCCUAGUUUAAAACAUGCUAGACCCUUGGCAUGCCGUGCUCCUCCAACGCACAGCCAGCACCUCUAAUGAUCCAGGCCUGUGAGGAGGUUUUUCCCCUGGUCAGUCCCUUUUAGCAUCCCAGCCAGCGUCUGGGUCCAGGCAAGAGCAGGGCAAACCAGGCUCUCAUGCAUGAGGCCUACAUCUACAUGGCAGCCUGUCUCUUCCCAGCACCAAGGCUCCAGCAGCAGGGGUAGGCAGCCUGUCUCUUCCCAGCACCAAGGCUCCUGCAGCAGGGGUAGGCAGCCUGUCUCUUCCCAGCACCAAGGCUCCAGCAGCAGGGGUAGGCAGCCUGUCUCUUCCCAGCACCAAGGCUCCAGCAGCAGGGGUAGGCAGCCUGUCUCUUCCCAGCACCAAGGCUCCAGCAGCAGGGGUAGGCAGCCUGUCUCUUCCCAGCACCAAGGCUCCAGCAGCAGGGGUAGGCAGCCUGUCUCUUCCCAGCACCAAGACUCCAGCAGCAGGGGUAGGCAGCCUGUCUCUUCCCAGCACCAAGACUCCAGCAGCAGGGGUAGGCAGCCUGUCUCUUCCCAGCACCAAGGCUCCAGCAGCAGGGGUAGGCAGCCUGUCUCUUCCCAGCACCAAGGCUCCAGCAGCAGGGGUAGGCAGCCUGUCUCUUCCCAGCCUUAGGGCCACAGCUGGGCCUGGUAACUCUUACCUCCCGCCACAGACCUGUCAGUCCCCUUAACCAUAAGGACACACAACACAGCAGGGGACGGAUGUUUCCAACCUUAGGGCCCUGGCUGGUAGGGCAGGGAGAUGUUCUCCCCCCAGGCCUGCUACAUGGGCAGAUUGGGGUUCGGGGGGCUCUGUGUAUAGUGUCGGGGGUCAGAACUAUGAGCUGAUCUGUGUGUUUCAGGAGAAGACCUCUUUACAGUACAGGGGGAAACCGCACAAAGAAGGCUCUGGAGCCAACGCCAACAGGACAAAUAUCCACACAUCAGAGAGCCAGCAGGAGUUCUUCAGGAUGUUGGAUGAGAAGAUUGAGAAGGGACUGGACUACUGUUCAGAGGAAGAAGAGGCAGAGGAUGGGACAUAGCAAACAAGGCCUGACUCAACCCCCUACAGAGAGCCUCCCAGAGUGUGUGCGAGUGCAUGUUCGUCUGAAUCAGUGUGUGUAUGUUCCACUGCCUUUGUAUGUGAUUCUGUAUGUGUCUGUGUGAGCAUGUAGGUUUUUGGUGUGUGAAAGAGCGAUGGAUAGCUAUUCUCAAAGACUGUUGCCCCCCUCUUGGCUGUCGUCCCAUUGGGCCCCUGAGUGGAUUACUGGAGGGAGAGACGAACGAGGAGACAUACAGACAGACAUGUGGACUCACUACCCUGCAGGACUAUGGAGAGAUGCACAUGGAGACAGACAAACGGACAUGUGGACUCACUGCCCUGCAGGACUAUGGAGAGACCCUCCCCUCUAUCCCAACUACCACCCCAGUGAACUGUACUGUGGUCCCUGGUCCAGCUUUGUGUAUACCACCCCCUCAUCACUACAACAUGGAGAAGGAGGACGGACAGAGGAAGAAUGAGCCUUACGGCAGUCUGGGAGACACCCUCCUGGCUUCCACCCUCCAUGGCCCUGACUACUGUGCUUUGCCUGUGAGGAGCAGAGAUGUGGAUAGAGAAAGAGGGGUGCUGGGGAGGGGGUGGUACUUCCAUAACCCCCAUCACAGAGGCUCGCUGCUGCAGUGGGCCAGAGAGGAUCCGAGAGAGGGAAGGGGUAGGGGGA